This is a ribosomal RNA of Lottia gigantea (owl limpet), 119 nucleotides long. The record is from Rfam. Lineage: Eukaryota; Metazoa; Mollusca; Gastropoda; Lottiidae.
GUCUACGGCCAUACCACGUUGAAAACACCAGUUCUCGUCCGAUCACUGAAGUUAAGCAACGUCGGGCUCGGUUAGUACUUGGAUGGGUGACCGCCUGGGAACACCGAGUGCAGUAGACG